RNAcentral lists this long non-coding RNA (1123 nucleotides) under Homo sapiens (human). Its description in RNAcentral is "HSALNT0385626". Lineage: Eukaryota; Metazoa; Chordata; Mammalia; Primates; Hominidae. The record is from RNAcentral.
CGCCCGGGGCAGCUGGCCGAGCCCUCGAUGCCUCCCGUCUGACGGAGGCGCCCGGGAAGCGCCGCCCACCUCGGCCCCGCACCCUCGCCGGCCUGCCGGGUCUCCGCCAGCCCUAGCAGACAGAGAGGGGCGCCGGUCCCUAGUCCCCCAGACCUCCAUUCAAGGUCAAAACUUUGCCCAGCUCAGCCUUGCUCGACCCUGGGCAGGGAAGCGCGGACAUCGGCAGAGGGAGCCCGAGGCUCUCCGUGCCCUUCGCGCCGCUCCCCAAGGAUGGAUAACACUAACAUAUAGUCAGUGGGAAAGAAAUCUCAGAAAAUAACUGUUAGUUUGUCACUGUCAUGGGAAAUGGGAAGGAAGAAAAACAGCACUUAUCAAGCAUCUUCUGUGUACAAACUGCCAUUUCAGACUCAGAGCAGUCCUUGAAGGUCAAGAACUGUGGAAUCUUUCAGAUGAUAUUCUGAUACUUCUGGACCAAGAUUGAAUUUGUUCUUCAUGAAAAAUGUCUGGGACCUUUUAUGUGGGAGGAGCCAAGAUGGCCGAAUAGGAAAAGCUCCGGUCUACAGCUCCCAGCGUGAGCAACGCAGAAGACGGGUGAUUUCUGCAUUUCCAUCUGAGGGUGUACUCCAUCUACUUUUAAAAACAAAAAGUUCACUGUAAAACAGCCUCAGGUAGGCCGUUCAGUAGGUAUUCCAGAAGAAGGUAUUGUCAUCAUAGGAGAUGGACAGCUCCAAGGGUGUUUAUUGCCCCUGAAGACUUUCUAGUGGAACAAGAUGUGGAGGUGGAAGACACUGAUGUUGGUGAUCCUGACUCAGUGCAGGCCUAAGCUAAUGUGGGUGUUUGUGUCUUAGUUUUUAACUAAAGGUUUAAAAAGUAAAAAUAAAACAUUAAAAAAAAUUUUUGUACACCUGAACAAUGUCUUUGUGUUUUAAGCUAAGUUAUUACAAAAGGGUCAAAAAACUAAAAAAAUUAAAAGUUAACAAGGUAAAGAAGUUACAGUAAGCUAAGGCUAAUUUAUUAUUGAAGAAAAAUAUUUUUUAAAACAAAUUUAGUGUAGGCUGGACACAAUGGCUCACACCUGUAAUCUCAGCACUUUGGGAGGCUGAGACAGGUGGAUCACUUGAGG